This 73-nucleotide transfer RNA is filed under the name Acropora cervicornis. Its description in RNAcentral is "tRNA-Arg". It matches the Rfam family "tRNA". From Rfam's summary of the family: Transfer RNA (tRNA) molecules are approximately 80 nucleotides in length. Their secondary structure includes four short double-helical elements and three loops (D, anti-codon, and T loops). Further hydrogen bonds mediate the characteristic L-shaped molecular structure. tRNAs have two regions of fundamental functional importance: the anti-codon, which is responsible for specific mRNA codon recognition, and the 3' end, to which the tRNAs corresponding amino acid is attached (by aminoacyl-tRNA synthetases). tRNAs cope with the degeneracy of the genetic code in two manners: having more than one tRNA (with a specific anti-codon) for a particular amino acid; and 'wobble' base-pairing, i.e. permitting non-standard base-pairing at the 3rd anti-codon position. Lineage: Eukaryota; Metazoa; Cnidaria; Anthozoa; Scleractinia; Acroporidae. The record is from RNAcentral.
ACCCUCCUGGCGCAAGAGACUACGUGUUGGAGUUCUAAUUCAAAGGUUGUGGGUUCGAGUCCCACCGGGGGUG